Long non-coding RNA from Pollicipes pollicipes, 303 nucleotides. RefSeq lists it as uncharacterized. The transcript has 3 exons. The record is from RefSeq and is a predicted model, not a curated record. Lineage: Eukaryota; Metazoa; Arthropoda; Thecostraca; Pollicipedomorpha; Pollicipedidae.
CCGAGCCCAGUAACGGAAAGUCGAUAGCGACCACCGCUAGUGCCACCACUCGCCCCCAGGGGCAGCAGGGGUGUGGUGACCGUGCCCCUUGCGCACCAGACGUCCCGCCGUGCCCGACACCGCUGCCAACGGGGAUGACCCCUGUGACCGACAGUCUGCUGUCAGUGGUAGGAGUCGCGACCCAGGUGGAUCGGAGUUCAGAGUCGAGUGCUGCGCCGCCCAGCCGCUGCAGAGUCUGUGCCGGCGAGAUGCCUCUGCUGAGCCCUCGGAACAACGGCCGAAUGGCCCACAACAGCGUGGCGC